Molecule: ribosomal RNA, 1632 nt
Filed under: uncultured eukaryote
Lineage: Eukaryota
Description: partial Eukaryotic large subunit ribosomal RNA
Rfam family: Eukaryotic large subunit ribosomal RNA
Source: RNAcentral
ACCUCCAAUCAGUCAAGAAUACCCGCUGAAUUUAAGCAUAUUAUUAGGCGGAGGAAAAGAAACUAACCAGGAUUCCCUCAGUAACUGCGAGUGAAGCGGGAGAAGCUCAGACUGAAAAUCUUCGGAAUUGUAGUCUGGAGAAGCAUGGUCAGCCGAUGGUCUCGGGCAAAGUCUUCUGGAAAGGAGCGCCUUGGAGGGUGACAGCCCCGUUCAUGCCUGAGACUAGAAGCGUACGACCUGCUUUCUACGAGUCGAGUUGUUUGGGAUUGCAGCUCUAAGUGGGUGGUAAAUUCCAUCUAAAGCUAAAUAUUGGUGGGAGACCGAUAGCGAACAAGUACCGUGAGGGAAAGAUGCAAAGAACUUUGAAAAGAGAGUUAAAUAGUACCUGAAAUUGCUGAAAUGGAACCGUUGGGAGGCAGUGUCGGUGUGGGUACUUGUAUCCGCACAAGCCAGGCUUCUUUUGCGGCGCGGGAGAGGCUUUAGAACCUGUAUGGGUCUAUUGUGCCGUCGCGCUGUAGAAGGACUCUGACGAAAUGCCUCUCAUCACCCCGUCUUGAAACACGGACCAAGGAGUCUAACACGUAUGCGAGUGUUGGGGUGGCAAACCCCGGACGCGGAAUGAAAGUAAAGGCGCCUGGCGCUGAGGUGGGACCCGCUCCCUCGGGGGCGGCGCACCAUCGACCGACCAUGAACUCCUGUGAAAGGUUUGAGUAAGAGCAUAUAUGUUGGGACCCGAAAGAUGGUGAACUAUGCCUGAAUAGGGUGAAGUCAGAGGAAACUCUGAUGGAGGCUCGCAGCGAUUCUGACGUGCAAAUCGAUCGUCAAAUUUGGGUAUAGGGGCGAAAGACUAAUCGAACCAUCUAGUAGCUGGUUCCUCCCGAAAUUUCCCUUAGGAUAGCUGCAACCGAACAGUUUUAUCAGGUAAAGCGAAUGAUUAGAGGCCUCAGGUGUGGAAUGCUCUUGACCUAUUCUCAAACUUUAAAUGGGUAAGAACCCUGGGUUGCUUAAUUGAACCCGGCGGUCGAAUGACGGUUGCUAGUGGGCCAAUCUGGGUAAGCUAGAUUGGCGAUGCGGGAUGAUCCGAACGUCAAGUUAAAGUGCCAAAGUAUCCGCUAACCUAGAUCCCACAAAAGGUGUUGGUUCAUUAAGACAGCAGGACGGUGGCCAUGGAAGUCGGAACCCGCUAAGGAGUGUGUAACAACCCACCUGCCGAAUGAACUAGCCCUGAAAAUGGAUGGCGCUGAAGCGGAUCACUUAUACUUGACCAACACAGCAAAUGCGAGGCUGUGUUGAGUAGGGGGGCGUGGGGCUCGUUGUGCAUUCUGUGGCGUAAGCCGGGAUGAAACGGGCUCUAGUGCAGAUCUUGGUAGCAGUAGCAAAUAUUCAAAUGAGAACUUUGAAGACUGAAGUGGAGAAAGGUUCCAUGUGAACAGUAAUUGGACAUGGGUGAGUCGAUCCUAAGAGAUAGGAGAAUUCUAUUUGAAAGCGGUCCUUCCUCGGAUGGACCCGGCUAUCGAAAGGGAAUCGGGUUAAUAUUCCCGAACCAGAACGUGGAUAAUGAGUGGUAACACAAACGAAACUGGGGACGUUGGCGAGAGCCCCGGGAAGAGUUCUCUUUUCUUUUUAACGGCU